GGGGUUGUGGCUCAGUGGCAGAGCACUUUCCUAGCAUGCAUGAGGCAUUGAGUUCUAUCCUUAGCACCA
This 69-nucleotide transfer RNA is filed under the name Marmota monax (woodchuck). RNAcentral describes it as "tRNA.Ala". Lineage: Eukaryota; Metazoa; Chordata; Mammalia; Rodentia; Sciuridae. The record is from RNAcentral.